GGUGAAAAGCACCCCGGAAGGGGAGUGAAAUAGAACCUGAAACCGUGUGCUUACAAGUAGUCAGAGCCCGUUAAUGGGUGAUGGCGUGCCUUUUGUAGAAUGAACCGGCGAGUUACGAUUUGAUGCAAGGUUAAGCAGUAAAUGUGGAGCCGUAGCGAAAGCGAGUCUGAAUAGGGCGUUUAGUAUUUGGUCGUAGACCCGAAACCAGGUGAUCUACCCUUGGUCAGGUUGAAGUUCAGGUAACACUGAAUGGAGGACCGAACCGACUUACGUUGAAAAGUGAGCGGAUGAACUGAGGGUAGCGGAGAAAUUCCAAUCGAACCUGGAGAUAGCUGGUUCUCUCCGAAAUAGCUUUAGGGCUAGCCUCAAGUGAUGAUUAUUGGAGGUAGAGCACUGUUUGGACGAGGGGCCCCUCUCGGGUUACCGAAUUCAGACAAACUCCGAAUGCCAAUUAAUUUAACUUGGGAGUCAGAACAUGGGUGAUAAGGUCCGUGUUCGAAAGGGAAACAGCCCAGACCACCAGCUAAGGUCCCAAAAUAUAUGUUAAGUGGAAAAGGAUGUGGCGUUGCCCAGACAACUAGGAUGUUGGCUUAGAAGCAGCCAUCAUUUAAAGAGUGCGUAAUAGCUCACUAGUCGAGUGACACUGCGCCGAAAAUGUACCGGGGCUAAACAUAUUACCGAAGCUGUGGAUUGUCCUUUGGACAAUGGUAGGAGAGCGUUCUAAGGGCGUUGAAGCAUGAUCGUAAGGACAUGUGGAGCGCUUAGAAGUGAGAAUGCCGGUGUGAGUAGCGAAAGACGGGUGAGAAUCCCGUCCACCGAUUGACUAAGGUUUCCAGAGGAAGGCUCGUCCGCU
Molecule: ribosomal RNA, 853 nt
Filed under: Staphylococcus aureus
Lineage: Bacteria; Bacillati; Bacillota; Bacilli; Caryophanales; Staphylococcaceae
Description: partial 23S ribosomal RNA
Rfam family: Bacterial large subunit ribosomal RNA
Source: RNAcentral